AGCUCCAAUAGCGUAUAUUAAAGUUGUUGUGGUUAAAAAGCUCGUAGUUGGAUUUCGGCGGGCAGGGGCUGGUUUGAAUUGAUUCCACACUGACUUUUUUACCCGCGCGUUUUGCCGGAAUCUUCCCGGUGAUCUUUUCCUAUUGUCCGCUGGAACUGGCAGGUUUACUUUGAAAAAAUUAGAGUGCUCAAAGCAAGCUUACUGCUUGAAUAGUUGCGCAUGGAAUAAUAGAAUAGGAAGUCGUUUCUAUUUUGUUGGUUUUCGGAAAUCGACUUAAUGAUUAAUAGGGAUAGUCGGGGGCAUUCGUAUUCAAACGACAGAGGUGAAAUUCUUGGACCGUUUGAAGACGAACUAAGGCGAAAGCAUUUGCCAAGAAUGUUUUCA
RNAcentral lists this ribosomal RNA (384 nucleotides) under marine copepod environmental sample. RNAcentral describes it as "SSU rRNA". It matches the Rfam family "Eukaryotic small subunit ribosomal RNA", at positions 587 to 972 of the family's 1831-position model. Lineage: Eukaryota; Metazoa; Arthropoda; Copepoda. The record is from RNAcentral.